RNAcentral lists this non-coding RNA (25 nucleotides) under Mus musculus (house mouse). The record is from RNAcentral. Lineage: Eukaryota; Metazoa; Chordata; Mammalia; Rodentia; Muridae.
UAUGCAGCUAGAGUCAAGAGCUCCG